GCGGGCAGCGGGUUCACCGAAACGGCCCCAAAUCCGGCCGUGUCUGGUGGGGGAAAAAAGCCACCUCUGCCUCAGCCCGCCCGCCGGUGCGGAACGUGCUCAGCGAGGCUGCAGAAGAGCCAAGCCCGGCGCGCCGGCGCGGCUUUGAGCCUGGGUUGCCUGGGGAGGCUCGUUCGUCCCGUCCCACAAACGCGGGAUGCGAGGGGUUUAGUGUAAGUUCUAUAAACUAAGGUGUUUUAAGCUAAGGGCGUUCCCACGUGGUGCCAGGUGCUGCAGAUGCCUGCAGUCAAAGUGAUAGACUCGCACAGGUCGGGGCCCUGCAAGCACGGACAGGUGUGUUCGUCCUGGGCCCACCUGCAGCAUGGGACAAACGCACGGAGGGUCCCUCAGGUUCCCCAGGGGCACCGGAAUUAAGUGCUGACCUGUUCCCGGGCGCUGAGGCCUGAAGAUGCUGUUGCUGCUGUCCCCAGGGGAGCCACGUUCCUGGUCAGACAGGCUGCAUCACCACCCAGUUUGUGUCUUCUAGUGAUAGAAUCUUCUGCAGGAUGACAAUUCAGCUUCAACCAGCUGCAGGGCUGCGAAACAAGAGCCCAAGAACUUCCAAGAGACAGAGUCCCUGAUAUGAGCAGAUGAGCUCACUUUACAAUGCCUAACCAGAGGGAAAGACCUAGACACCUGGAAUGUCAGAAAGGAGUAAUUGUUAGGCAGAAGCUUCAGCUAUGAGUCCAAGUUAAAGUUCUGCUGCAAGCUCUGUUGCCAGAAAGCAUUUUGGAGAGAUCAGAUCAUGCUGAGAGCCUGCUAGUGGACAGUUUCUUCAAAAAAAGAAACAGAAGAAUUAGAAACAAGAGGAGCCCUUCCAAUGAAGAUGGACAAAAAGAAAAAUCUAGUCUACUGAUCCAAAUAAUGCAGGCAGACUAGCACAUGCUGGAAUCUGGGACCGAAACCAAAGAGAGCUGACAUGAGGACGUACUGCGGGGAGGCACAAGCACAGCAAUGAAUGGUGCCAUUGUGUGACUAUUUUAAUUAAUUUUUGUAAUGAAGCCAAAGCUCUAAUUUACCACAUCCCAAAAGUAAAUAGAAAAGGUUAUGACCUUAAUUUCAGAGGUGGGGAAGGAAAACCUAAUUGCUAGGUAGUCAGCUGUCACUCAUUAUUGCAUCGGAUAGAUACACUUGGUGUGUUACUAUGAAUAAUGCAGAUUCAACCAUCAAAAUAGUGGGUAAUGACGGUUUCAUUCUCUCUCCCCUUCAUCUUCUUUCCAAGUUUUUGAUUAGUAUUAUUUUGUACCAGUUUUAUCAUGUGGAUUGCAAUACUCCCAACUCUACCAGACUCUUGAGUAGAUCUGAGUAAAUAGAAUAGCUUUUUAUUUUUUGUCUUCUCAGUACACAGAUGUGUGCAACUUAAGCAGGAUGCAAAAUACAUGGAGAUUACAGGAAGUUCCUUCUGCCUUCUUACUCAAGUGGGUGUAUUCCUAUACAGGAACUAGUGAUGGAAAGAGUUGUUCAGUACAACAUGUCUACAAGCUGAAAAGGUGCAAAAGCCACAUCUGUUUCUAACCACAGCCACUAAAUAAAUACAAUAAAUUUCAUUAUGUGCUGUUCAAACCAUGGCUCUAUUUGCAUCACUCAGACUGUGCCCAGCCAUCCUUGCACUUAACUUGUGGGGUCAUUUCUGUGGGCCAAGGGAAAGAUGCAUGGACAGAUCUGAGACUGGUGUAAACUCUUUAUGUCUUAUCAAAUGCUGUACCUUGAUUUGUGCCCACAUUAAAAAAGUACAAUACUGUGCACUCGCUAAA
Molecule: long non-coding RNA, 1793 nt
Organism: Apus apus (common swift)
Lineage: Eukaryota; Metazoa; Chordata; Aves; Apodiformes; Apodidae
Exons: 4
Source: RefSeq, a predicted model, not a curated record